UUAAGUUCAGCGGGUAACUCCUACCUGAUCCGAGGUCAACCGUGGAAGAUUGGUGGUGACCAACGCCCCGCAGGUCCGUCCCGAGCAGGUGACACAGCCCCAUACGCUCGAGGACCUGGGAACGUCGCCGCUGCCUUUGGGGCAGUCCCCCGCGAGGAGGGGGACCACGCCCAACACACAAGCCGCGCUUGAGGGCAGAA
RNAcentral lists this unclassified non-coding RNA (200 nucleotides) under Talaromyces sp. RNAcentral describes it as "partial internal transcribed spacer 2". The record is from RNAcentral. Lineage: Eukaryota; Fungi; Ascomycota; Eurotiomycetes; Eurotiales; Trichocomaceae.